AUUUCAGGACUAGGCAAAAAAAGCUGAGGCAGAAGUACACAAGGAACAUUUCAAAUUCUAGCAAUCAGUCUUCAAGCUACAAAUCAUCAGGCUGAGCUCCCGAUUCCAACGCUGGAUUAAUGCUACAGGAUCAUGGACUACAACCCCUACAGAUUAAUGAAUACUGCAAAAGUAACUUGGGUGAGGGAAGGAGAUGAUGGAAAGAAGACAUAAGGUUCAAGAAAUUCUCAGUAAAAACCUAUUCAGUAGGUUCAUCACCUUAAAGGUGAUUCCAGAACAGAAGAUGCAGCUUUAAAUGCAAACAAGUGCUAGAGACUGAUACACAGGUAUACCUGCAUUCAAGACUGAAACAAAGGGUCACUCUGGUACACUGAAGUGCUGUGAAUUAUGAAGUGACACUCAACAUGGAAGCAUCAAAGAUACCGAAAGACUGAAAGUUUCUGAAUUGCACGCUGCUACGACCUCUCAAUAUUAGACCUGAACAAGGUAAUCCUGCAUUCUCUCAAGAGGUAUGGGUAGAACCUCUUAAAAAAAAAAAAAGAAUCAAUUCAGCAACACAUACCUAUUUUACGCUAGUCAAGUAACUGGAUAUUGUUUUAUGGCACUGAUUUCUUGGGAGAAGUUUACUCUGUUCCCUAGCUUAGGCUCAUUCUGUAUUUCCCAUUCUAGAUGGGUGGAAGGCAAAAGACUAAGUCCAUCUUGCAAAGAGUUAAGUUGGAAGAUACAGCCUUAUUUGGAUGAGCACAGAAUGUACCGAUGCCAGACAGGAGGAACACAGAUGUAUUCCCACAGAUAACCUCAUACCACCUUAAUUCUGUUUGUUGCAUGAUCAGCAGGAAACUGGAGAAGUAGGGCAAGAUUUUUGCCAAGAGCAACUAGAGAAGUAGAUCAAAGUCUCUGCCUCAACUGAUAAGAAAGUUUCAGAAGCAGACAACAGAAGCCUGUCAGCUUGCAUACAGCAGCUAGCUGCCUGGGAUUUAAUACAUGAAGACUAUCAUUGUGGAAAGCUACAGACUGAUUCUAUGGCCAAACUCCUGAGCUAUGAUUCAUAUUCAGCAAUUUCCAGCUGUCCUGCUACGAACUGGCAUAUGUCUUCAUUUCUCUCCAAUUCAUCUUCUCUUUUUAAAGAGUCAGGAGUACUACAUUUAACACUACAAGAUAAGCUCAUGCUUCUCCAAGACACAGCUUAUUGGAGUAAUUUCAUUUUAUAAGCACAAUGAAUGAAAAUAUGAGAGUCCUCAUUACACAUUUGGAAAGAUUUUGAACAAAAACUGCAAGAGAAGGAGUCUGGCUGAAGCGAUAACAGAACUUCUCCACGUGCCUUGAAAGACACUGCAGGAACCCUACAGGAAGGCAAGCAGACAGCCCUAUGCAGAAGCCCUGCUAUUUCACUAGGGUGGCACAUCUAUCCUUCAACACAUUCAAUAGAUUGCCUUUGAGUUUUAAAGGACAAAAACAAAACCUGUUUCUGCAUCUG
This is a long non-coding RNA of Aptenodytes forsteri (emperor penguin), 1477 nucleotides long. RefSeq lists it as uncharacterized. The transcript is spliced from 2 exons. The record is from RefSeq and is a predicted model, not a curated record. NCBI's taxonomy places the organism in Eukaryota, Metazoa, Chordata, Aves, Sphenisciformes, Spheniscidae.